Molecule: long non-coding RNA, 497 nt
Filed under: Coturnix japonica (Japanese quail)
Lineage: Eukaryota; Metazoa; Chordata; Aves; Galliformes; Phasianidae
Description: lncRNA (ENSCJPG00005018022.1)
Source: RNAcentral
GGACCAAUAGGGCCUGCUGGACCUAAAGGAGAACUUGGAUUCCCAGGACGCCCAGUAUGUAUUAAGCUCUCAAAAUGAAUGAAGAGCAGCUCAUUUCUGACAUAUACUUUGUUAUUUCUACUAGUUUUUCUGCUUAUGUGUACUUAUUUCAGGGCCGCCCAGGACUGAAUGGGCUGAAAGGUGCGAAAGGUGAACAAGGUGAAGCAUUAAAUGGCAUUCCUGGUUUGCCAGGCCCUCCUGGACCCCCAGGACCUCCAGGACGUGUAGUUCACAUCAAAGGAGCAGUUUUCCCAGUCUCUCCUAGGCCUCAUUGCAAGAAUAUAGUAAGUAACACAAAUAAUCUGCUGUUAGCAAGAUGCAUGGCCAUGAUGAUGCGUAACCAAAGUAGUCACAUGCAUAACCACAGUAGAUCUGCAGCUUUUUACCCCAUGACUUCUGCUUUGCAGCAGAGAUCUGCUUUACUUAGCCUUCAAGGUAACAGAUUUUCAAGUCUUUAG